Molecule: ribosomal RNA, 460 nt
Filed under: uncultured bacterium
Lineage: Bacteria
Description: partial 16S ribosomal RNA
Rfam family: Bacterial small subunit ribosomal RNA
Source: RNAcentral
CCUACGGGUGGCAGCAGUGAGGAAUAUUGGUCAAUGGGCUUACGCCUGAACCAGCCAAGUCGCGUGAGGGACGACUGUCCUAGGGGUUGUAAACCUCUUUUGUCAGGGAGCAACGCCGGCCACGAGUAGCCGGACUGAGAGUACCUGAAGAAAAAGCAUCGCCUAACUCCGUGCCAGCAGCCGCGGUAAUACGGAGGAUGCGAGCGUUAUCCGGAUUUAUUGGGUUUAAAGGGUGCGUAGGCGGAAUGCCAAGUCAGCGGUAAAAUCGCGGGGCUCAACCUCGCUACGCCGUUGAAACUGGCGUUCUUGAGUGAGCGAGAGGUAUGCGGAAUGCGUGGUGUAGCGGUGAAAUGCAUAGAUAUCACGCAGAACUCCGAUUGCGAAGGCAGCAUACCGGCGCUCAACUGACGCUCAUGCACGAAAGCGUGGGUAUCGAACAGGAUUAGAUACCCCGGUAGUC